AGGGCGUACGGUGAAUGCCUUGGUGCCAACAGGCGAAGAAGGACGCGGCAAGCUGCGAAAAGCCUCGGGAAGCUGCAAGCAAGCGAUGAUCCGGGGAUAUCCGAAUGGGGUAACCUGAUCGAGGCAAUACUCGAUCGUUCAUACCUGAAUACAUAGGGUAUGAAACGCGAAACCCGCUGAAGUGAAACAUCUCAGUAAGCGGAGGAAAAGAAAGAGAAAUCGAUUCCGUAAGUAGUGGCGAGCGAAAGCGGAUGGAGCCCAAACCGAAGGUAUUCCUUCGGGGUUGUAGGACCACGUCAUAUUCGACCAUACUGGAUAGUAGAACAGCCUGGAAAGGCUGGCCGGAGAAGGUGAAAGCCCUGUAGACGAAAUCCAGAGUGGGAAUUAGUGGUAUCCUGAGUAAUACAUCACACGUGGAACGAUGUAUGAACCCGCGCGGACCACCGCGCAAGGCUAAAUACUAGUUGGCGACCGAUAGUGAACAAGUACCGCGAGGGAAAGGUGAAAAGAACCGCUGUGAGCGGAGUGAAAUAGAACCUGAAACCGUAUGUCUACAAAGUGUCAGAGCAGAGCAAUCUGCGAUGGCGUGCCUUUUGUUUAAUGAGUCUGCGAGUCAGUGUUUGUGGCAAGACUAAGGGCUUCCGGCCCGGAGUCGCAGCGAAAGCAAGUCCGAACAGGGCGCAAUAAGUCGCAGGUACUGGACCCGAAGCGGAGGUGACCUACCCUUGGCCAGGUUGAAGCAUGGGUAAAACCAUGUGGAGGACCGAACAGGUGAACGUUGAAAAGUUCUCUGAUGAGCUGAGGGUAGGAGUGAAAGGCUAAUCAAACCCCGUGAUAGCUGGUUCUCUUCGAAAUGCAUUUAGGUGCAGCGUCACGUGCUGAUGCGCGGGGGUAGAGCACUGACAAGGCUAGGGGGCACACCCGCUUACCAAACCUUAUCAAACUCCGAAUACCGUGCAAUGGAACGUGGCAGUGAGACAGUGGGGGAUAAGCUUCAUUGUCGAGAGGGAAACAACCCAGACCAGCAGCUAAGGUGCCUAAAUAACGCUCAGUGGAAAGGAUGUGGGAUUACACAGACAGUGAGGAUGUUGGCUUAGAAGCAGCCACUCAUUUAAAGAGUGCGUAAUAGCUCACUGGUCGAGCGUCUCUGCGCGGAAAAUUUAACGGGGCUAAGAUACAAACCGAAGCUUAGGCUGCACUUUUAGUGCGGGGUAGGGGAGCGUUGUGUAAGCGGAGAAACAGUAGCGUAAGCGGCUGUGGAGUUUACAGAAGUGAGAAUGCCGGAAUGAGUAGCGCGAAUGAUGUGAGAAUCAUCAUGGCCGGAAACCUCAGGUUUUUGGAGGAAGGUUCGUCCGCUCCAAGUUAGGCGGGAGCUAAGGUGAGGCCGAAAGGCGUAGCCGAUGCACAGACGGUAGAGAUUCCGUCCCCACCGAAAGAUUUAAGCGCAGGGACACUUUUAGAAGGUCGGAGCCAGGUGUUGGUUCUGGUAGAGAUCGAGGGAAGAUUAGUACCGAAGUCCGGCUGGAUAAGAGGCGAGAAAAGCUGCGUGUAUAUCUAAGGUGCCCGUACCGCAAACCGACACAGGUAGGUAGGAAGAAGAUUCUAAGGCCAACGGGAGAAGGGUUGUUAAGGAACUCGGCAAGUUGACCCCGUAACUUCGGAAUAAGGGGUGCUCACGAGAGUGAGCCGCAGAGAAUAGGCCCAGGCAACUGUUUACCAAAAACACAGGUUUGUGCUAAAUCGAAAGAUGACGUAUACGAGCUGACGCCUGCCCGGUGCUGGAAGGUUAAAAGGAGAUGUGCAAGCAUUGAAUUGAAGCCCCAGUGAACGGCGGCCGUAACUAUAACGGUCCUAAGGUAGCGAAAUUCCUUGUCAGGUAAGUUCUGACCCGCACGAAAGGCGUAACGAUUUGGGCGCUGUCUCAGCUGUAGACUCGGUGAAGUCUUAGUACCUGUGAAGAUGCAGGUUACCCGCGACUAG
RNAcentral lists this ribosomal RNA (1980 nucleotides) under human gut metagenome. RNAcentral's name for it is "bacterial LSU rRNA". It matches the Rfam family "Bacterial large subunit ribosomal RNA", at positions 14 to 2079 of the family's 2925-position model. The record is from RNAcentral.